Molecule: transfer RNA, 69 nt
Filed under: Oreobates quixensis (common big-headed frog)
Lineage: Eukaryota; Metazoa; Chordata; Amphibia; Anura; Strabomantidae
Description: tRNA-Trp
Source: RNAcentral
CAGGAACUAGAAGGUUUUAACUUCUUCUUAGGGCUUUGAAGGUCCUUGGUCUGAGUAUCCUAAGUUUCU